UUUCCGUAGGUGAACCUGCGGAAGGAUCAUUAAUGAGUUGUCAUGGGGUUCGAUGCUGGCAGCCAAUUUUUGGAUGCAUGUGCUUGCCCUAACAAUCAUCUUCCAAACACCUGUGCACAUUUUUGAGGGAGUCUUGAGUUGGUUGCCGCUCUUGGGUGAUUUUCUCACAUUCCCUUAAAUCAUUAUACGCUAUUAACAAUGUUGAACGUGGUCUGUGCCGCAAGGCUAUUAAUAUAAUACAACUUUUAACAACGGAUCUCUUGGCUCUC
Molecule: unclassified non-coding RNA, 269 nt
Filed under: plant metagenome
Description: partial contains small subunit ribosomal RNA, internal transcribed spacer 1, and 5.8S ribosomal RNA
Source: RNAcentral